This 868-nucleotide ribosomal RNA is filed under the name uncultured archaeon. RNAcentral's name for it is "bacterial SSU rRNA". It matches the Rfam family "Archaeal small subunit ribosomal RNA", at positions 1 to 878 of the family's 1478-position model. The record is from RNAcentral.
CUCCGGGUGAUCCUGCGGGACCCGACUGCUAUCAGAGUGGGACUAAGCCAUGCGAGUCAACGUAGCAAUACGUGGCAUACGGCUCAGUAACACGUAGUCAACAUGCCCAGGGGACGAGGAUAACCUCGGGAAACUGAGGAUAAACCUCGAUAGGCCAUGAUUUCUGGAAUGAUUCUUGGCUCAAACCUAUAUGGCCCCUGGAUUGGACUGCGGCCGAUCAGGCUGUUGGUGAGGUAAUGGCCCACCAAACCUGUAACCGGUACGGGCUCUGAGAGGAGGAGCCCGGAGAUGGGCACUGAGACAAGGGCCCAGGCCCUAUGGGGCGCAGCAGGCGCGAAACCUCUGCAAUAGGCGAAAGCUUGACAGGGUUACUCUGAGUGAUGUCCGUUAAGGGCAUCUUUUGGCACUUCUAAAAAUAGUGUAGAAUAAGGGGUGGGCAAGUCUGGUGUCAGCCGCCGCGGUAAUACCAGCACCCCGAGUGGUCGGGACGAUUAUUGGGCCUAAAGCAUCCGUAGCCGGUUCUGCAAGUCUUCCGUUAAAUCCACCUGCUCAACAGAUGGGCUGCGGAGGAUACUACAGGGCUAGGAGGCGGGAGAGGCAAGCGGUACUCAGUGGGUAGGGGUAAAAUCCUCUGAUCCACUGAAGACCACCAGUGGCGAAGGCGGCUUGCCAGAACGCGCUCGACGGUGAGGGAUGAAAGCUGGGGGAGCAAACCGGAUUAGAUACCCGGGUAGUCCCAGCUGUAAACGAUGCAGACUCGGUGAUGGGUUGGCUUCGAGCCAACCCAGUGCCGCAGGGAAGCCGUUAAGUCUGCCGCCUGGGGAGUACGGUCGCAAGACUGAAACUUAAAGGAAUUGGCGGGGGAGCA